UGCAAGUCGAGCGGUAGCACAGGGAGCUUGCUCCUGGGUGACGAGCGGCGGACGGGUGAGUAAUGUCUGGGAAACUGCCCGAUGGAGGGGGAUAACUACUGGAAACGGUAGCUAAUACCGCAUAACGUCUUCGGACCAAAGUGGGGGACCUUCGGGCCUCACACCAUCGGAUGUGCCCAGAUGGGAUUAGCUAGUAGGUGAGGUAAUGGCUCACCUAGGCGACGAUCCCUAGCUGGUCUGAGAGGAUGACCAGCCACACUGGAACUGAGACACGGUCCAGACUCCUACGGGAGGCAGCAGUGGGGAAUAUUGCACAAUGGGCGCAAGCCUGAUGCAGCCAUGCCGCGUGUGUGAAGAAGGCCUUCGGGUUGUAAAGCACUUUCAGCGAGGAGGAAGGGUUCGGUGUUAAUAGCACUGUUCAUUGACGUUACUCGCAGAAGAAGCACCGGCUAACUCCGUGCCAGCAGC
RNAcentral lists this ribosomal RNA (468 nucleotides) under uncultured bacterium. Its description in RNAcentral is "bacterial SSU rRNA". It matches the Rfam family "Bacterial small subunit ribosomal RNA", at positions 56 to 515 of the family's 1533-position model. The record is from RNAcentral.